CGCACGCACGCACACGUUAUAAGAGCGAUCGCCGCUCGCCGUUCGAAUGCUUGUCACAGUCAGUCACGUGAGAUCUUUCGGCCGCUCGUCUCACUCGUCGUGAACACCUCAACUCGUCUCGAUCGUCGCCGGAAAGGCCGUUUCGUCCUCCAGCACAGCAAAAUAUAGACAAAACCAUGUCGGCCGCCAUUGCCACCGUCCACUGGCUGAUGACGAUUGUCGUCGUAUUGCUCAUCGGCGCCGUCCAAGCCACCAAUCAUCCUUCGCGUGCUGAUAGGCAAUCGAUCGCCAACCCAAACAAAGUGUCGAACGAGAGAGAUUCCAGGUGCCACCACCCAACGACACACAAUUGCAAUACUUCUGUGUAUCCGAUUUUGGACUGGAAAUUGUCCGGCUGGUUUUACCAUUCGAUGUUCAAAUCGUGCCGACCUCUGUACUCGUUGAAGGGCGAGAACGUUUGCGUUGAAAACCAAGACCUGCCAAAGACCAGAGAAAUGUGCGAAGACUUAUGCGGUGAAUCGUGCGUCAUGAGCAACGGGUCGAUGGGCAUUUGCAUGUUCAAUCAAAUGUGCAAGAUCAUAAACAACAAGCCCUCCGCCCACCCAAGACCAUGUGGCAGUUACAAUGUAAAUUGUUGUCCCAAGGUAUCAGACAGCAACUUGGUACCGUACAGAGAUCCUUCGGGAAACAUCAACGGGAAUGGCGAAUUUGAAAACCGCAUAAGCGCCGCUGACCAAUCGUCCUCCCGAACCGAUACAAUUUACAUCUAUCGUUUUCCAAAUACUCCAGUUAUGGAAGGAAAACUCAAUAAGUAGUACUUGUACUAGCAACAGUAACGUAACAUUGUUAUGGUGUUUAACAAAUAGUUACUGAGGUUUUUUUUUCUCUACUUAAUAUCAUUACUUUUAUUAUAACACUAUUAUUGUUUUAAUUAUAACUAUUAUUAUUAUUAUUAUUAUUAUUUUUUUAUCAUCAUCAUGUUAUAAUAUUAUACUAUGAUUACGCGUAACAUCGCCUAAUAGGUUUCAACCCGUACAAUACGUCACUAUAGAACCGUACAGAUCAACAGUUUUACACGCCUUUUAAACUCUAUAUUUAUUAUUAUAUCCUGUAUUGAACGUAUUGUACGAAAAUGAAUUGUUUAAAGGCCAACGCUUGCGUUCCAUCGUACAAUAUUAAACGAUGGUGAAACACACAUUGCAAGUGGCGUUAGGUACCGUGUUUAUUUAUUACGUUUAACGCAGUUGGUUUAAGCGUUUAUAUAUUAUUAUUUAUUUUUUUGUUCAUGAUUAAGUUACUAUGUAGUAUGUAC
Molecule: RNA transcript, 1312 nt
Organism: Acyrthosiphon pisum (pea aphid)
Lineage: Eukaryota; Metazoa; Arthropoda; Insecta; Hemiptera; Aphididae
Exons: 3
Source: RefSeq, a predicted model, not a curated record